ACCAACCAUCCCCGGGGACAGAACGUCCAUCGUCAGAUGACAAUGAUGAUAAGAAAGUCCUUUACUUUGCUACCAAACUUUACAUACCUGAAUUUUCACCAUUUAUACUACAAAGAACACUCUCCGCACCUGGCUUGGACUCUGACGUUCCCAGUUGGGCUGCUGCCGUAUUCCUGUUGUCCUGCGCAAACCUUCCUCAUGCUUGGACUAACAUCUCACCCUUGACCACUGCUGAUCUUCCUUUCCCCACCAUGGACUGCCCCCUCACUCUGUUGGGCUCUGACAUUCUACCUGACACUUAUUUUUGCAAAUGGUAUAAAAUGGGCCUCUAGAUUUUUUUGCUGGUAAAUAAUAUCAGUACUGUUUAUUAUAUAGUCAUCCUUUUGUCAUUGAAUUAAAAAUUCAUCUUUGAUAUGCUA
This is a long non-coding RNA of Odocoileus virginianus texanus, 419 nucleotides long. RefSeq lists it as uncharacterized. The record is from RefSeq and is a predicted model, not a curated record. NCBI's taxonomy places the organism in Eukaryota, Metazoa, Chordata, Mammalia, Artiodactyla, Cervidae.